GAUGAACGCUGGCGGCGUGCCUAAUACAUGCAAGUCGAGCGAAGCGGGGAGGGGGGAGUAAGAGGUGGAUAAACUCCUAUACGACUGGGAUAACUUCGGGAAACCGGAGCAAAAGCGGCUACUUAGGGAUGGCUCUGCGCUGCAUUAGCUAGUUGGUAAGGUAACGGCUCACCAAGGCAACGAUGCAUAGCCGACCUGAGAGGGUGAUCGGCCACACUGGAACUGAGACACGGUCCAGACUCCUACGGGAGGCAGCAGUAGGGAAUCUUCCGCAAUGGGCGAAAGCCUGACCGAGCAACGCCGCGUGAGUGAAGAAGGUCUUCGGAUCGUAAAACUCUGUUAUUAGGGAAGCGGUACCUAAUCAGAAAGCCCCGGCUAACUACGUGCCAGCAGCCGCGGUAAUAC
Molecule: ribosomal RNA, 405 nt
Filed under: uncultured bacterium
Lineage: Bacteria
Description: partial 16S ribosomal RNA
Rfam family: Bacterial small subunit ribosomal RNA
Source: RNAcentral